This 253-nucleotide ribosomal RNA is filed under the name uncultured bacterium. Its description in RNAcentral is "partial 16S ribosomal RNA". It matches the Rfam family "Bacterial small subunit ribosomal RNA", at positions 524 to 776 of the family's 1533-position model. The record is from RNAcentral.
UACGUAGGGUGCGAGCGUUAAUCGGAAUUACUGGGCGUAAAGUGUGCGCAGCCGGCGUCGCAAGUCGAGUGUGAAAGCCCCGGGCUUAACUUGGGAAUUGCGCUCGAAACUACGAUGCUGGAGUAUGGCAGAGGAAGGUGGAAUUCCGGGUGUAGUGGUGAAAUGCGUAGAGAUCCGGAGGAACACCAGUGGCGAAGGCGACACGCUGGGCCGUACCUGACACUGAUGCGCGACAGCAUGGGGAGCAAACAGG